AGAUUUAACUCUUAGAAACUCUCAAAUAUCCAUCGCGAAACCAUCCAAUGAUUGGUCGCAAGCUCGCUGCGAACCAUCGCCAAAUCAGCCUAAUAUUCAACAAUAAACUUGGUAUAAUCGUAAUGAAAGAGUAAUUAAUCCAUUAAUUACCUUUUCUAAACUUUCCUUCAGCAGUUUUUCUCCGAUUCUUAACUGAUGAAACCUCACAAAUCUGACCUCCAUAGCUGUUACACCAUGCUCUCCAAACCGGCUGCCACA
This 258-nucleotide long non-coding RNA is filed under the name Ananas comosus (pineapple). RNAcentral's name for it is "long non-coding RNA (ACOM_LNC038721)". Lineage: Eukaryota; Viridiplantae; Streptophyta; Magnoliopsida; Poales; Bromeliaceae. The record is from RNAcentral.